RNAcentral lists this transfer RNA (89 nucleotides) under Klebsiella pneumoniae. RNAcentral describes it as "tRNA-OTHER". It matches the Rfam family "tRNA". From Rfam's summary of the family: Transfer RNA (tRNA) molecules are approximately 80 nucleotides in length. Their secondary structure includes four short double-helical elements and three loops (D, anti-codon, and T loops). Further hydrogen bonds mediate the characteristic L-shaped molecular structure. tRNAs have two regions of fundamental functional importance: the anti-codon, which is responsible for specific mRNA codon recognition, and the 3' end, to which the tRNAs corresponding amino acid is attached (by aminoacyl-tRNA synthetases). tRNAs cope with the degeneracy of the genetic code in two manners: having more than one tRNA (with a specific anti-codon) for a particular amino acid; and 'wobble' base-pairing, i.e. permitting non-standard base-pairing at the 3rd anti-codon position. Lineage: Bacteria; Pseudomonadati; Pseudomonadota; Gammaproteobacteria; Enterobacterales; Enterobacteriaceae. The record is from RNAcentral.
GGGUCGUUAGCUCAGUUGGUAGAGCAGUUGACUUUUGCAGUUGACUUUUAAUCAAUUGGUCGCAGGUUCGAAUCCUGCACGACCCACCA